UACGUAGGGGGCGAGCGUUGUCCGGAUUUAUUGGGCGUAAAGAGCUCGUAGGCGGUUCGAUAAGUCGGAUGUGAAAUCUCCACGCUCAACGUGGAGGGGCCAUUCGAUACUGUCGUGACUCGAGUCCGGUAGGGGAGUGUGGAAUUCCGCGUGUAGCAGUGAAAUGCGUAGAUAUGCGGAGGAACACCGAUGGCGAAGGCAAUCCCCUGGGCCUGCACUGACGCUCAUGCACGAAAGCGUGGGGAGCAAACAGG
RNAcentral lists this ribosomal RNA (254 nucleotides) under uncultured bacterium. RNAcentral's name for it is "partial 16S ribosomal RNA". It matches the Rfam family "Bacterial small subunit ribosomal RNA", at positions 524 to 776 of the family's 1533-position model. The record is from RNAcentral.